This 235-nucleotide ribosomal RNA is filed under the name uncultured bacterium. Its description in RNAcentral is "partial 16S ribosomal RNA". It matches the Rfam family "Bacterial small subunit ribosomal RNA", at positions 30 to 272 of the family's 1533-position model. The record is from RNAcentral.
UUGAACGCUGGCGGCAUGCCUUACACAUGCAAGUCGAACGGUAGAGGGGCAACCCUUGAGAGUGGCGAACGGGUGAGUAAUGCAUCGGAACGUGCCCAGUCGUGGGGGAUAACGCAGCGAAAGCUGUGCUAAUACCGCAUGUGAUCUGUGGAUGAAAGCAGGGGACCGCAAGGCCUUGUGCGAUUGAAGCGGCCGAUGUCAGAUUAGCUAGUUGGUAGGGUAAAAGCCUACCAAG